RNAcentral lists this ribosomal RNA (429 nucleotides) under uncultured Solirubrobacterales bacterium. RNAcentral's name for it is "bacterial SSU rRNA". It matches the Rfam family "Bacterial small subunit ribosomal RNA", at positions 355 to 776 of the family's 1533-position model. The record is from RNAcentral. Lineage: Bacteria; Bacillati; Actinomycetota; Thermoleophilia; Solirubrobacterales.
UGGGGAAUCUUGCGCAAUGCGCGAAAGCGUGACGCAGCAACACCGCGUGAGGGAAGACGGCCUUCGGGUUGUAAACCUCUUUCAGGAGGGACGAAGGUCGGCCGGUUAACAGCCGUGCCGGCUGACGGUACCUCCACAAGAAGCUCCGGCUAACUACGUGCCAGCAGCCGCGGUAAUACGUAGGGAGCGAGCGUUGUCCGGAAUCAUUGGGCGUAAAGCGCGCGUAGGCGGCCCGAUAAGUCCGCUGUGAAAGUCAACGGCUCAACUGUUGAAAGCCGGUGGAUACUGUCGGGCUAGAGUACGGAAGAGGCAAGUGGAAUUCCUGGUGUAGCGGUGGAAUGCGCAGAUAUCAGGAGGAACACCCAUAGCGAAGGCAGCUUGCUGGGACGUUACUGACGCUAAGGCGCGAAAGCGUGGGGAGCGAACAGG